Molecule: ribosomal RNA, 301 nt
Filed under: uncultured bacterium
Lineage: Bacteria
Description: partial 16S ribosomal RNA
Rfam family: Bacterial small subunit ribosomal RNA
Source: RNAcentral
CAGUAGCCGCGGUAAUACGGGGGGGGCAAGUGUUAUUCGGAAUGACUGGGCGUAAAGGGCACGUAGGCGGUGAAAAGGGUGGAAAGUGAAAGUCGCCAAAACACUAACGGGGUGCUUUCUUGACCAUUUCACUUGAGUGAGAUAGGGGAGAGUGGAAUUUCGUGUGGAGGGAUCAAAUCCUAAGAUAUACGAAGGAACGCCAACCGCGAAGGCAGCUCUCUGGGUCCCCACUGACGCUGGGGUGCGAAAGCAUGGGGAGCAAACAGGAUCAGAUACCCCGGUAGUCCCUGUCUCUUAUACA